UGAGACAGGGUUUCUCUGUGGCUUUGG
RNAcentral lists this non-coding RNA (27 nucleotides) under Cricetulus griseus (Chinese hamster). Lineage: Eukaryota; Metazoa; Chordata; Mammalia; Rodentia; Cricetidae. The record is from RNAcentral.